AUAGAGCUCAGAGCUGCAUAUCAAUAAGCGGAGGAAAAGAAACUAACAAGGAUUCCCUAGUAACGGCGAGUGAAGCGGGAAGAGCUCAAAUUUGAAAUCUUCAAGGUUUCCCUUGACGAAUUGUAGUUUAUAGAAGUGUUUUCUGUUAGUAGAGUGGUAAAAGUUCUUUGGAAUAGGACAUCAUAGAGGGUGAGAAUCCCGUAUUUGGUCAUUCUUUCUAGCUUUGUGAUACACUUUCAACGAGUCGGAUUGUUUGGGAAUGCAGUCCAAAAUGGGUGGUAAAUUUCAUCUAAAGCUAAAUAUUGGCGAGAGACCGAUAGCGAACAAGUACCGUGAGGGAAAGAUGAAAAGAACUUUGAAAAGAGAGUUAAACAGUACGUGAAAUUGUCAAAAGGGAAGCGUUUGACACCAGUGUUGUUUUUCCGAAAAUCAAUUAAGAAUGUUUUAUUUUUGAGGAGUUAUGACUUCAUCGGCUUGCUCCUCUCUUUAUGGAACUUUCUUAAUGCACUUUUCGGUUAACAAGUCAACAUCAAUUUCUUUUGUUGUAAAAGAGUAUGAGGAAGGUGGCUUUCUUUUCGGAGAAAGUGUUUAUAGCCUUGUGCCUCUGCAAUCGGAGAGAUUGAGAUCUGCAGCGUAGAUCCUUCGGGGUUAGAUACGUUUGUGCUAAGUUAUAGCUUUUCAUAGACAACUUGUUGACUAUGUUUAGUCUUGUAGCUUACUCGCUGACGCUAUUUUACCUACGCUUAGGAUGUUGAUAUGCAUGACUGAUAU
This 771-nucleotide ribosomal RNA is filed under the name uncultured Neocallimastigales. RNAcentral describes it as "partial large subunit ribosomal RNA". It matches the Rfam family "Eukaryotic large subunit ribosomal RNA", at positions 1 to 643 of the family's 3401-position model. The record is from RNAcentral. Lineage: Eukaryota; Fungi; Neocallimastigomycota; Neocallimastigomycetes; Neocallimastigales.